AUAACUCGGAAGAAGAAAACAAGCCUAACUUAAGAAGAUAAUGAAUGUUGAGAAACCACGAAGAAGCAGCAAGUACAGCGGAAGCGGGGUUUGAAGCCAAGGUUUUCCGCUCUUGAUUUUGAAUCAAGUCUCUGAAGUCUUUUUUAUUUACACGUUUUUGAAAUCUUGCAAUUCUCGAAGUACUGCAUGUAUCCUUGAUGCUAGAAUGAAAUUGUCGAUGUUAUUAGUUCAAAAA
This is a long non-coding RNA of Nematostella vectensis (starlet sea anemone), 235 nucleotides long. RefSeq lists it as uncharacterized. The record is from RefSeq and is a predicted model, not a curated record. Lineage: Eukaryota; Metazoa; Cnidaria; Anthozoa; Actiniaria; Edwardsiidae. The transcript is spliced from 2 exons.